GCAUAUCAAUAAGCGGAGGAAAAGAAACCAACAGGGAUUGCCCUAGUAACGGCGAGUGAAGCGGCAACAGCUCAAAUUUGAAAUCUGGCGCAAGCCCGAGUUGUAAUUUGUAGAGGAUGCUUCUGGCCAGCGGCCGUUCUAAGUUCCUUGGAACAGGACGUCAUAGAGGGUGAGAAUCCCGUAUGUGACCGGUGCGCAGCCUUUACGUAGCUCCUUCGACGAGUCGAGUUGUUUGGGAAUGCAGCUCUAAAUGGGAGGUAAAUUUCUUCUAAAGCUAAAUACCGGCCAGAGACCGAUAGCGCACAAGUAGAGUGAUCGAAAGAUGAAAAGCACUUUGGAAAGAGAGUUAAAAAGCACGUGAAAUUGUUGAAAGGGAAGCGCUUGCAACCAGACUUCGUAGCGAUGUUCCGCUGGUCUUCUGACCGGUCUACUCAUCGUCGCGAGGCCAACAUCGUCUGGGACCGCUGGAUAAGACCUAAGGAAUGUAGCUUCCCUCGGGAAGUGUUAUAGCCUGUGGUGAUGCAGCGCGUCU
Molecule: ribosomal RNA, 532 nt
Filed under: Fulvia fulva
Lineage: Eukaryota; Fungi; Ascomycota; Dothideomycetes; Mycosphaerellales; Mycosphaerellaceae
Description: eukaryotic LSU rRNA
Rfam family: Eukaryotic large subunit ribosomal RNA
Source: RNAcentral